RNAcentral lists this ribosomal RNA (402 nucleotides) under uncultured bacterium. RNAcentral describes it as "bacterial SSU rRNA". It matches the Rfam family "Bacterial small subunit ribosomal RNA", at positions 362 to 757 of the family's 1533-position model. The record is from RNAcentral.
UUUUGGACAAUGGGGGCAACCCUGAUCCAGCAAUGCCGCGUGAGUGAAGAAGGCCUUCGGGUUGUAAAGCUCUUUUGUCAGGGAAGAAACACCGGCUCUAACACAGUCCGGGAAUGACGGUACCUGAAGAAUAAGCACCGGCUAACUACGUGCCAGCAGCCGCGGUAAUACGUAGGGUGCAAGCGUUAAUCGGAAUUACUGGGCGUAAAGCGUGCGCAGGCGGUUAUACAAGACAGGCGUGAAAUCCCCGGGCUUAACCUGGGAAUGGCGCCUGUGACUGUAUAGCUAGAGUGUGUCAGAGGGGGGUAGAAUUCCACGUGUAGCAGUGGAAUGCGUAGAUAUGUGGAGGAAUACCAAUGGCGAAGGCAGCCCCCUGGGAUAACACUGACGCUCAUGCACGAA